Molecule: ribosomal RNA, 1021 nt
Filed under: Bacillus aerophilus
Lineage: Bacteria; Bacillati; Bacillota; Bacilli; Caryophanales; Bacillaceae
Description: bacterial SSU rRNA
Rfam family: Bacterial small subunit ribosomal RNA
Source: RNAcentral
AGGCCGGGGGCUGCUAUACAUGCAAGUCGAGCGGACAGAAGGGAGCUUGCUCCCGGAUGUUAGCGGCGGACGGGUGAGUAACACGUGGGUAACCUGCCUGUAAGACUGGGAUAACUCCGGGAAACCGGAGCUAAUACCGGAUAGUUCCUUGAACCGCAUGGUUCAAGGAUGAAAGACGGUUUCGGCUGUCACUUACAGAUGGACCCGCGGCGCAUUAGCUAGUUGGUGAGGUAACGGCUCACCAAGGCGACGAUGCGUAGCCGACCUGAGAGGGUGAUCGGCCACACUGGGACUGAGACACGGCCCAGACUCCUACGGGAGGCAGCAGUAGGGAAUCUUCCGCAAUGGACGAAAGUCUGACGGAGCAACGCCGCGUGAGUGAUGAAGGUUUUCGGAUCGUAAAGCUCUGUUGUUAGGGAAGAACAAGUGCAAGAGUAACUGCUUGCACCAUGACGGUACCUAACCAGAAAGCCACGGCUAACUACGUGCCAGCAGCCGCGGUAAUACGUAGGUGGCAAGCGUUGUCCGGAAUUAUUGGGCGUAAAGGGCUCGCAGGCGGUUUCUUAAGUCUGAUGUGAAAGCCCCCGGCUCAACCGGGGAGGGUCAUUGGAAACUGGGAAACUUGAGUGCAGAAGAGGAGAGUGGAAUUCCACGUGUAGCGGUGAAAUGCGUAGAGAUGUGGAGGAACACCAGUGGCGAAGGCGACUCUCUGGUCUGUAACUGACGCUGAGGAGCGAAAGCGUGGGGAGCGAACAGGAUUAGAUACCCUGGUAGUCCACGCCGUAAACGAUGAGUGCUAAGUGUUAGGGGGUUUCCGCCCCUUAGUGCUGCAGCUAACGCAUUAAGCACUCCGCCUGGGGAGUACGGUCGCAAGACUGAAACUCAAAGGAAUUGACGGGGGCCCGCACAAGCGGUGGAGCAUGUGGUUUAAUUCGAAGCAACGCGAAGAACCUUACCAGGUCUUGACAUCCUCUGACAACCCUAGAGAUAGGGCUUUCCCUUCGGGGACAGAGUGACAGUG